UUGAGCCUUGAUGUGUAGGAUAGGUGGGAGGCUUUGAAGUGUGGACGCCAGUCUGCAUGGAGCCGACCUUGAAAUACCACCCUUUAAUGUUUGAUGUUCUAACGUGGACCCGUAAUCCGGGUUGCGGACAGUGUCUGGUGGGUAGUUUGACUGGGGCGGUCUCCUCCUAAAGAGUAACGGAGGAGCACGAAGGUUGGCUAAUCCUGGUCGGACAUCAGGAGGUUAGUGCAAUGGCAUAAGCCAGCUUGACUGCGAGCGUGACGGCGCGAGCAGGUGCGAAAGCAGGUCAUAGUGAUCCGGUGGUUCUGAAUGGAAGGGCCAUCGCUCAACGGAUAAAAGGUACUCCGGGGAUAACAGGCUGAUACCGCCCAAGAGUUCAUAUCGACGGCGGUGUUUGGCACCUCGAUGUCGGCUCAUCACAUCCUGGGGCUGAAGUAGGUCCCAAGGGUAUGGCUGUUCGCCAUUUAAAGUGGUACGCGAGCUGGGUUUAGAACGUCGUGAGACAGUUCGGUCCCUAUCUGCCGUGGGCGCUGGAGAACUGAGGGGGGCUGCUCCUAGUACGAGAGGACCGGAGUGGACGCAUCACUGGUGUUCGGGUUGUCAUGCCAAUGGCACUGCCCGGUAGCUAAAUGCGGAAGAGAUAAGUGCUGAAAGCAUCUAAGCACGAAACUUGCCCCGA
Molecule: ribosomal RNA, 679 nt
Filed under: Salmonella enterica
Lineage: Bacteria; Pseudomonadati; Pseudomonadota; Gammaproteobacteria; Enterobacterales; Enterobacteriaceae
Also listed under: 1 other name
Description: partial 23S ribosomal RNA
Rfam family: Bacterial large subunit ribosomal RNA
Source: RNAcentral